This 497-nucleotide ribosomal RNA is filed under the name uncultured bacterium. RNAcentral describes it as "partial 16S ribosomal RNA". It matches the Rfam family "Bacterial small subunit ribosomal RNA", at positions 28 to 507 of the family's 1533-position model. The record is from RNAcentral.
GAUGAACGCUGGCGGCGUGCCUAAUACAUGCAAGUCGAGCGAACGGACGAGAAGCUUGCUUCUCUGAUGUUAGCGGCGGACGAGUGAGUAACACGUGGAUAACCUACCUAUAAGACUGGGAUAACUGCGGGAAACCGGAGCUAAUACCGGAUAAUAUUUUGAACUGCAUGGUUCAAAAGUGAAAGACGGUCUUGCUGUCACUUAUAGAUGGAUCCGCGCUGCAUUAGCUAGUUGAUAAGGUAACGGCUUACCAAGGCAACGAUGCAUAGCCGACCUGAGAGCCUGAUCGGCCACACUGGAUCUGAGACACGGUCCAGACUCCUACGGGAGCCAGCGGUACGUACUCUUCCGCAAUGGGAGAACACCUGACCGAGCAACGCCGCGUGAGUGAUGAAGGUCUUCGGAUCCUAAAACUCUGUUAUAAGGGAAGAACAUAUGUGUAAGUAACUGUGCACAUCUUGACGUUACCUAAUCAGAAGGCCACGGCUAACUCCGUG